GAGGUGGGGGGAUUGCUGGAGUUAGGAGUUUGAGGCUGCAGUGAGCUAUGAUCAUGCCACUGCACUCCAGCCUGAGUGACAGAGCAAGACCCUGUCUC
This 98-nucleotide microRNA precursor is filed under the name Cercocebus atys (sooty mangabey). RNAcentral's name for it is "miRNA (ENSCATG00000016313.1)". Lineage: Eukaryota; Metazoa; Chordata; Mammalia; Primates; Cercopithecidae. The record is from RNAcentral.